CCCUACUCCUACGGGAGGCAGCAGUGGGGAAUAUUGCACAAUGGGCGCAAGCCUGAUGCAGCCAUGCCGCGUGUAUGAAGAAGGCCUUCGGGUUGUAAAGUACUUUCAGCGGGGAGGAAGGGAGUAAAGUUAAUACCUUUGCUCAUUGACGUUACCCGCAGAAGAAGCACCGGCUAACUCCGUGCCAGCAGCCGCGGUAAUACGGAGGGUGCAAGCGUUAAUCGGAAUUACUGGGCGUAAAGCGCACGCAGGCGGUUUGUUAAGUCAGAUGUGAAAUCCCCGGGCUCAACCUGGGAACUGCAUCUGAUACUGGCAAGCUUGAGUCUCGUAGAGGGGGGUAGAAUUCCAGGUGUAGCGGUGAAAUGCGUAGAGAUCUGGAGGAAUACCGGUGGCGAAGGCGGCCCCCUGGACGAAGACUGACGCUCAGGUGCGAAAGCGUGGGGAGCAAACAGGAUUAGAAACCCUGGUUAGUCCGAA
This 477-nucleotide ribosomal RNA is filed under the name Escherichia coli. RNAcentral's name for it is "bacterial SSU rRNA". It matches the Rfam family "Bacterial small subunit ribosomal RNA", at positions 331 to 799 of the family's 1533-position model. The record is from RNAcentral. Lineage: Bacteria; Pseudomonadati; Pseudomonadota; Gammaproteobacteria; Enterobacterales; Enterobacteriaceae.